AAAGUCUGACGGAGCAACGCCGCGUGAACGAAGAAGGUCUUCGGAUUGUAAAGUUCUGUGAUUCGGGACGAAAGGGUUUGUGGUGAAUAAUCAUAGACAUUGACGGUACCGAAAAAGCAAGCCACGGCUAACUACGUGCCAAGCAGCCGCGGUAAAUACGUAGGUGGCAAGCGUUGUCCGGAAUUAUUGGGCGUAAAGCGCGCGCAGGCGGUUUCUUAAGUCCAUCUUAAAAGCGUGGGGCUCAACCCCAUGAGGGGAUGGAAACUGGGAAGCUGGAGUAUCGGAGAGGAAAGUGGAAUUCCUAGUGUAGCGGUGAAAUGCCGUAGAGAUUAGGAAGAAUACCGGUGGCGAAGGCGACUUUCUAGACGAAAACUGACGCUGAGGCGCGAAAGCGUGGGGAGCAAACAGGAUUAGAUACCCUGGUAGUCCACGCCGUAAACGAUGGAUACUAGGUGUAAGAGGUAUCGACCCUCCUGUGCCGGAGUUAACGCAUAAGUAUCCCGCCUGGGAGUACGAUCGCAAGAUUAAACU
This 531-nucleotide ribosomal RNA is filed under the name Dialister pneumosintes. RNAcentral's name for it is "bacterial SSU rRNA". It matches the Rfam family "Bacterial small subunit ribosomal RNA", at positions 378 to 901 of the family's 1533-position model. The record is from RNAcentral. Lineage: Bacteria; Bacillati; Bacillota; Negativicutes; Veillonellales; Veillonellaceae.